This 501-nucleotide ribosomal RNA is filed under the name uncultured bacterium. RNAcentral's name for it is "partial 16S ribosomal RNA". It matches the Rfam family "Bacterial small subunit ribosomal RNA", at positions 30 to 523 of the family's 1533-position model. The record is from RNAcentral.
AUUGAACGCUGGCGGCAGGCUUAACACAUGCAAGUCGAGCGGAGAUGAGGUGCUUGCACCUUAUCUUAGCGGCGGACGGGUGAGUAAUGCUUAGGAAUCUGCCUAUUAGUGGGGGACAACAUUCCGAAAGGAAUGCUAAUACCGCAUACGUCCUACGGGAGAAAGCAGGGGAUCUUCGGACCUUGCGCUAAUAAAUGAGCCUAAGUCGGAUUUGCUAGUUGGUGGGGUAAAGGCCUACCAAGGCGACGAUCUGUAGCGGGUCUGAGAGGAUGAUCCGCCACACUGGGACUGAGACACGGCCCAGACUCCUACGGGAGGCAGCAGUGGGGAAUAUUGGACAAUGGGGGGAACCCUGAUCCAGCCAUGCCGCGUGUGUGAAGAAGGCCUUAUGGUUGUAAAGCACUUUAAGCGAGGAGGAGGCUACUGAGACUAAUACUCUUGGAUAGUGGACGUUACUCGCAGAAUAAGCACCGGCUAACUCUGUGCCAGCAGCCGCGGUAA